Molecule: unclassified non-coding RNA, 335 nt
Filed under: soil metagenome
Description: partial contains 5.8S ribosomal RNA, internal transcribed spacer 2, and large subunit ribosomal RNA
Rfam family: 5.8S ribosomal RNA (bases 1-120)
Source: RNAcentral
GAUGAAGAACGAAGUGAAAUGCGAUAAGUAAUGUGAAUUGCAGAAUUCAGUGAAUCAUCGAAUCUUUGAACGCACAUUGCGCCCGCCAGUAUUCUGGCGGGCAUGCCUGUUCGAGCGUCAUUUCAACCAUCAAGCCCCCGGCUUGUGUUGGGGACCUGCGGCUGCCGCAGGCCCUGAAAACCAGUGGCGGGCUCGCUAGUCACUCCGAGCGUAGUAAUACAUCUCGCUCAGGGCGUGCUGCGGGUUCCGGCCGUUAAAAAGCCUUAUUUACCCAAGGUUGACCUCGGAUCAGGGAGGAAGACCCGCUGAACUUAAGCAUAUCAAUAAGCGGAGGA